This 77-nucleotide transfer RNA is filed under the name candidate division Zixibacteria bacterium SM23_81. RNAcentral's name for it is "tRNA-His". It matches the Rfam family "tRNA". Rfam says of the family: Transfer RNA (tRNA) molecules are approximately 80 nucleotides in length. Their secondary structure includes four short double-helical elements and three loops (D, anti-codon, and T loops). Further hydrogen bonds mediate the characteristic L-shaped molecular structure. tRNAs have two regions of fundamental functional importance: the anti-codon, which is responsible for specific mRNA codon recognition, and the 3' end, to which the tRNAs corresponding amino acid is attached (by aminoacyl-tRNA synthetases). tRNAs cope with the degeneracy of the genetic code in two manners: having more than one tRNA (with a specific anti-codon) for a particular amino acid; and 'wobble' base-pairing, i.e. permitting non-standard base-pairing at the 3rd anti-codon position. Lineage: Bacteria; Pseudomonadati; Candidatus Zixiibacteriota. RNAcentral also lists the same sequence under 2 other names. The record is from RNAcentral.
GUGGAUGUAGCUCAGUCGGUAAGAGCACCAGGUUGUGGCCCUGGGGGUCGAGGGUUCGAGUCCCUUCAUCCACCCCA